Molecule: ribosomal RNA, 253 nt
Filed under: uncultured bacterium
Lineage: Bacteria
Description: partial 16S ribosomal RNA
Rfam family: Bacterial small subunit ribosomal RNA
Source: RNAcentral
UACAGAGGUCUCAAGCGUUGUUCGGAUUUAUUGGGCGUAAAGAGCUCGUAGGCGGCUCGUUGCGUCAGCUGUGAAAACCCGCAGCUCAACUGUGAGCUUGCAGCUGAUACGGGCGGGCUAGAAUUCGGUAGGGGAGACUGGAAUUCCUGGUGUAGCGGUGAAAUGCGCAGAUAUCAGGAGGAACACCGGUGGCGAAGGCGGGUCUCUGGGCCGAUAUUGACGCUGAGGAGCGAAAGCGUGGGGAGCGAACAGG